GGCUGGUCUGAAAGUAGUACAUUAUCUCAACUGAGUGUCCACAUUCAGUUACAGACCAAACUCCUCGUUCUCCUCUUUUCUCCCCUUCUCACUACCGCACUUGACUAGUAUCAA
RNAcentral lists this Y RNA (114 nucleotides) under Aotus nancymaae (Ma's night monkey). RNAcentral describes it as "Y RNA (ENSANAG00000001288.1)". It matches the Rfam family "Y RNA". Rfam says of the family: Y RNAs are components of the Ro ribonucleoprotein particle (Ro RNP), in association with Ro60 and La proteins. The Y RNAs and Ro60 and La proteins are well conserved, but the function of the Ro RNP is not known. The record is from RNAcentral. Lineage: Eukaryota; Metazoa; Chordata; Mammalia; Primates; Aotidae.